GACUAACUUUACUUUAUCCAAUUAUUAUAAACUUAUCGUUUAUUAUACGCUUCUUGUUCUGUUUAUAAUGAAUUUCUCUCGAGUAAUUAAGAUUUCGACUUGAGGUUACCAAAACUAGUUGUAGGCCACGUUCUCUCCUCGGCCGGAACAGUUUAUGGAUUGUUGUAAAAAUAUUUAAUUAUUGAGCCCUUCGCGUCUCGCUUGUUUUCCCUUCCCGAUUUUUAACAAUUAACGUCUCUUUACCUUACUCAGGUUGAUGUAUGCAAUUAUGUCUGUGACUACUGGAACCUGAAACAGCAACCUUUUUGGCAAGGAGGUCAACUUGGUCGUACUUAUUGCUGCUAUGAGCUUAUACACAAAUCAGGAACUUUUCCGCACCUUUUUUACCUAUAACCAUCAAACUGUUGAUUGCUGUAAUCAAUGAGUCCUUACUGCUGUUACCUAUAACUGCAGAAAGCAAACGGGCUGUCCAUAGGUUGCAGUGUUCUGUUGUUAUUUUAUAACCUCAAUAGCUAAGCCUUCAGCUGUAUAGAUCACAUGUAUGGUAAUCUAAUUUGAAACACGGUGCUAUCAGCAGUGUUCAGAAUCGCAGCACCAUUCCUCUGUGUUCAGUACCGUCGUUGAGGGGUAA
Molecule: long non-coding RNA, 631 nt
Organism: Cimex lectularius (bed bug)
Lineage: Eukaryota; Metazoa; Arthropoda; Insecta; Hemiptera; Cimicidae
Exons: 2
Source: RefSeq, a predicted model, not a curated record